Molecule: small RNA, 107 nt
Filed under: Flavobacteriaceae bacterium
Lineage: Bacteria; Pseudomonadati; Bacteroidota; Flavobacteriia; Flavobacteriales; Flavobacteriaceae
Description: 6S RNA
Rfam family: 6S-Flavo RNA
Source: RNAcentral
ACUCAACAUUAGUUCUUUAAGAAGGGUGAGUUGAAGAUGUAAAAGCGUGCCGUCUUAGAACGGAUACUUGAUCGUCUUGUUAGCCCUAAACUUGUUAAAAGGAGUUU